ACGUCCCACUCCCCAAAAUGAAGGAACAAAUCACUUAGUCCUUACUCCCUCUUUCUCCUAUGAUCAAACCAAUUCAAGAUUUCCCCAAUAUUUAUAUCUCCCUCGUUCUCUCUAGCAUAAUUCAGUUUUCCUCUUCCUCUUUCUACAGAAUAUGUAUACUCCCUCCUAAAUAAAUGAAACAUCGGCAAAUGAUCCUUUAACCAGGUAGUUUUCCACGUAACCACAUCAUCAUCAUCAUGUUGUCUAUUCAAAGGUCCUAAGUUUCUUCCUCUCUAUAACUUGCGCAUGGUUAUUGCUCCAAAUCCAAAUCCCCUAGCAAUUUGCUCGUGGGCCUUUAGAGUUUCUUGCUAGAUAUUGUUCGAUUAGGAAGGAAAGCUUUUGAGGUUCUAAAGAAGAGAUGAUGCUUUGGUGUUUUGCAUGAAGAGCGUGCGGGGACGAAAAUGGGUUUUUGGAUUAAAUUGUAAUUGUAAAGAUAAUUUGGAGGAUAUUUAUUCAAAGUUUUAAUUAAAUUAUGCUAAGAAUUUUCGUAUAGGUUUUUGGUGAGAAUUUAUUAUUGAUAAAAAGAAAAUAGUAGUAAUUUUCGAAAAAAGAGAAUGAUUUAGGCGUAAUGUCUUGAAUCAAAAUCCAGGGCGUUACACGUGACAUGAUAGAACUUCAAUAACCAGCAUCAAAGCUCCCAACCUUUUAUAGAGAUACAAAGAUAAAAGAUGUUACAAUAGAGGAAAAGGAGCUGCAAGUAAACUUUCUUAUCUAUUAUCAAAUUAUCUUGUGACUAAAUGUUUGAUGAGUAAAAUUGUUCAAAUGAAAAGGCAAAUUAUCGAAGCACCUUAGGACCAGUUUGGCCAGAGGUAGCAUUAUCUGCUGCAAUGGUUAGAUCACAAACCAUAUGCAAUAUAUGCCCCCCUCCAAUAGCAUACCCUGCUAUCUGUUUUAAUGUUAGCAAAUAAUUUGCAGCUGCUGUGAAGGCUUUGUGCACAAAAAAGUGAGAUUAAGAAUAAAGGUGCACAGAAGUAAGCUAGGAGAGUACCAUUACGAUUACUGGUUUUGGAAGGUGGCGAAUCUGCACCUGUAAUAGGAGAAAAGAAUGAAGAUCAAAGUAUAAGAAUAACAAAGGGACGAGUAAUAUAUUUAUACAACUUGAAUUGAAAAUUUUCUCUUUACAAAUCAUGAAAACAACAUUGAGUAAAUAAGCAAUUUUCCGUCCUUGGACUUAUGACUGGUUGGACAAUUUAGUCCCUCAAAUUGAAGAAAUAGCUAGGAAUUCAGUCUAUUAAAUUAGAGAACGUUGGUCAAUUUAAUCAAUACUCCAGAAUUAUGCACCACAAGGUUCCUUCAGUGUCAAUGUAAGCAACUUUUCCAUUGCCUCCAAAUUAUAUGUAAGCAACUCUUUGAUUGAUAAGCAAGCAAAUUUUGUGUAUCAUUGGGAGAAUUUUAU
RNAcentral lists this long non-coding RNA (1435 nucleotides) under Medicago truncatula (barrel medic). RNAcentral describes it as "lncRNA gene47559". The record is from RNAcentral. Lineage: Eukaryota; Viridiplantae; Streptophyta; Magnoliopsida; Fabales; Fabaceae.